Molecule: long non-coding RNA, 1813 nt
Organism: Hemibagrus wyckioides
Lineage: Eukaryota; Metazoa; Chordata; Actinopteri; Siluriformes; Bagridae
Exons: 3
Source: RefSeq, a predicted model, not a curated record
AUCUUUCUAUAUUGCACUUUUAUUGUCACAGGAUUUUCUUGUCAAGCAGCUGGGCAGUGAUGGGGCUUGGAUGGGUUUACAUGACAGAGACACAGAGGAGACCUGGAAAUGGGUGGACGGUACACCACUAACCACUGCAUACUGGGCUCCAGGGGAACCCAAUAAUAGUGAUGAGGACUGUGCUGAGAUUUGGGGUUUUACAGGUAAAGAGGGCUGGAACGACAGGUCAUGCGAUGACAAAGUGAGAUGGAUCUGUGAGAAACCUGCUUCUCUCUGAUUAAACUUGGCGUCUGUCAGCAAGGGACUUCCAACGACCAUCACAAAAGUACCCCAUCCACUUUAAACAUUACUCCUAAAUUAACAGUUCCUGUAAUACUCAAAUCAGUCCAUCUACCUGCUGAAGACCUGCAUCUGCAUGAGCUAAUGCACUGUACUGCUGCAACAUGACCGGGGUAUUGGAAAAACUGCAGUAAUAGCCAGAUGUUCCUAAUAAAGUGGACAGCAAAUGUUACUCUAAGGAAAAAACUGAUUUUCACACCUUUUUAACUGAGCUGUUAGCCAGCAAGCUUCUUUUGUUAAGCUAAUUCACUGUCUAUGGAUGCACUGGAAGUAUUUUUUUGCAUCUGUAGUAAUGAGACCCUUUACCUAUAGGUUUAUUUCACUAUUUUAAUAGAUACAAAAUUCAAUGACAUUAGCUUGCACUGUUUAGUAUUUCUUGAAGGUAAACUAAAGGGCUUUUCACACUUGAAAAUGUUAACCCUGGGUCAUCCUAAACCCCAGAUAAAUAUAACCCUGGGUUAUCUGUAAUCACGUUUCACACUGCUCAUACUAUACCUGGGGUUAACUGUUAAUCCUGGGUAUUCAUUAACAGAUGUUUCACACUGUACAUUCUUAAACACCAGGUUAACGUUCUUAUUUGCAUAUUUGCGGUGUCACUGUCACUGAUUGGACGAACAGCAGGCAACCUGUUUACAAAGUCAACACUUUUCCAUGAGACGCUAUCGAUGCAGAACGGAGAGUUGCGAUUACAUUGUGGCUCCUAGCAACCAACACGGAGUACAGCUAAUUUGUCGGUCAGUUCCUUAAAUACUGUUAUUUCUGACCAUGCCAUCCAAGCUGUCUUGAACAGACUUUUCAGACCUUAAUUGUAAGAAUGAUACCGUCUCCUCAUCACUCCAGUUCACACGCUUUCGUUUUUUGACAUUUCUUACUUCUCUAUCAUUGACUGCUGUUUACAUGACGCGUUUUCUAUUACUGUGACACGAGUUCAGUUUCUGAUUGGCUGUCUGUUGCCAAGCGUCCAGCAGCAACAAGUGAACACCACUCCGUUUCACACUGAACAAACUUAGCACCGCAAUGUGGGGUUAACACCACAAAUUUGGUGCUAACCCCGCUCCGGAGCAGGGUUUCAUAACUCCAGGUAAAAAGCGGUAACGCCACUUUCAAAUUACAGAUGUGAAAUGUUUCUUUAGCAGGGGUUAAAAGCGGUGUAUAUACGACGAUUACCCAGGGGUUAAGCGCAGUGAGAAAAGCCCUUAAGUUAACCCGUUUUCAUGGUCAACUUUAGCUAGCUACAUUAGUGUAUUUUAUUAGGCUGUGUAUUUGCUCGACACUCAGUUUAUCUACCCCACACUCACCGAGUGUUCUGUAAAUGAAACCAGAGUGGGGGAUGUGACUGAAUGCUAGUGUAGCCUGUAGAGGAGUGUUUUAACAUUACUGGCUAUGCAGUCAAGAGCUUUUUUUUUUGGGGUCAUCUUGCAACUAUGCCAUUUUCAGUUUUUAAAUGACAGCAAAAAUAUAUUUUUGUGGGCUC